Molecule: transfer RNA, 90 nt
Filed under: Methylobacterium gnaphalii
Lineage: Bacteria; Pseudomonadati; Pseudomonadota; Alphaproteobacteria; Hyphomicrobiales; Methylobacteriaceae
Also listed under: 3 other names
Description: tRNA-Ser
Rfam family: tRNA
About the family: Transfer RNA (tRNA) molecules are approximately 80 nucleotides in length.
Source: RNAcentral
GGAGAGGUGGCAGAGCGGUUGAAUGCACCGCACUCGAAAUGCGGCAUGGGUGCAAGCCCAUCGGGGGUUCGAAUCCCUCCCUCUCCGCCA